Molecule: long non-coding RNA, 590 nt
Organism: Capsicum annuum
Lineage: Eukaryota; Viridiplantae; Streptophyta; Magnoliopsida; Solanales; Solanaceae
Exons: 2
Source: RefSeq, a predicted model, not a curated record
UCUCUUUCAACAUUCUCCAAAUACUGACGUCUUCUUAAAAAAGGUUGUCAGAGUUCAUCAGCAAGAGUUCAUCAGCAAUAUCACAAUUCAAAAAAUGCGAUGGAAAACACUUAUCUUAGCAAUAUCACAAUUCAAAAAAUGCGAUGGAAAACACUUAUCUUUGCAUUAACCAGACGUUUAAAUUUGGCAAAGAUCGCCUUAAUCGUCGCAGUUAUUCUAUUAUUCAGGUUCUUGAGUAGUAUGUUACUAACUGAGGGAGGAAUCUACAGAUUGAUUUUAAAAUAAGAAGUCUUCCAUUAUAAAUCAAGUAUAUUGCUGCAGUUUGAAGGUAGAUUCUUUCUCUUAUUUUGUCGGUUGAACUUACUAUAUAGUAAUAGAUACGAAAACUUUAUUAUUUUACAUGUUGAAGAAGAAGCAGAUAAGUGUUGCUUAAUGAUGCCUCAAAAAUCGAACUUAUUAUAUAGUAAUUGAUAUGAAAACUUUAUUAUUGUACAUGUUGAAGAAGACGCAAAUAAGUUUUGUUUAAUUAUGCCACAAAAAUCGAAUAGGUAAUAGAUUUUCUACCCAAUUGUGGAUAGCAGAAGCAUUCG